Molecule: ribosomal RNA, 373 nt
Filed under: uncultured organism
Description: partial 16S ribosomal RNA
Rfam family: Bacterial small subunit ribosomal RNA
Source: RNAcentral
GUAGGUGGCAAGCGUUGUCCGGAAUUAUUGGGCGUAAAGCGCGCGCAGGUGGUUCUUUAAGUCUGAUGAGAAAGCCCCCGGCUCAACCGGGGAGGGUCAUUGGAAACUGGGGAACCUGAGUGCAGGAGAGGAAAGUGGAAUUCCACGUGUAGCGGUGAAAUGCGUAGAUAUGUGGAGGAACACCAGUGGCGAAGGCGACUUUCUGGCCUGUAACUGACACUGAGGCGCGAAAGCGUGGGGAGCAAACAGGGAUUAGAUACCCUGGUAGUCCACGCCGUAAACGAUGAGUGCUAAGUGUUGGGGGGGUUUCCCGCCCCUCAGUGCUGCAGCUAACGCAUUAAGCACUCCGCCUGGGGAUACGGUCGCAAGACUG